GCGGGUGCGGUCUGACCCGCCUCCGAGGGACCCAACAAGCAGGCAGAGGAUCGGAAAUCACGCCCCGGCGCCCUGCCCGGUUGAGCGUGGGGGACGGAAGCGGGAGACUGCGUCGGGGGUCCCGGGGAACGCAGACCCCGGGCUGAGGGCGUCUCCAGACGGGCUCUGGCUGCCAGGCUGGGGGAGAGCCAAACGUUACACUGAAGAGACUGCAGAGAGCAGAGGAUGCAUUGAAACAGGAAGCCCCUGGGGUUUGGUGCCUACCAGAGUACUUUGCACAGACAAGGUUAAUAAAUUAUUUUUGAUGGC
RNAcentral lists this long non-coding RNA (309 nucleotides) under Homo sapiens (human). Its description in RNAcentral is "non-protein coding lnc-DYDC1-3:2". The record is from RNAcentral. Lineage: Eukaryota; Metazoa; Chordata; Mammalia; Primates; Hominidae.